This is a long non-coding RNA of Gambusia affinis (western mosquitofish), 407 nucleotides long. RefSeq lists it as uncharacterized. The transcript has 3 exons. NCBI's taxonomy places the organism in Eukaryota, Metazoa, Chordata, Actinopteri, Cyprinodontiformes, Poeciliidae. The record is from RefSeq and is a predicted model, not a curated record.
UGUUACAGUUUCUGAUGUUUUAACUGCCUACUCAUCACCCACAACACUAAAUUGCCAUAGUAGCACACGGUGUUGGCAGUGACAUGCUGUGGGGAUGUUGUCCUUCAGUUUGGACAGGGAUGCUAACCAGAUUUGUUGAGAAGAUGGGUAGACCCCCGUCCUGGGCGGACCUUAAGAAAAUACUAAUGUUCACCAACACUAUUCUACGGCGCUGGAACUAGUUUGCAAAGAAGAAUAGCCAACAAACAGACAUCUUAGAAAGCAGCAGAACUUUCCAACCAACUGGGUUUCCAUUGCAGUUAUUGUUCAAAAGCAUGGCACUGUACAGAUAACAUGAAUUGAAACUGAACUCCAAUCCAUUAUCCAAUCCAUUGUUCCAGAAGGAAACAGCCUACAACAACAACUAC